GGCUACUGUAGCUUAUAAAACAAUGAUGAGCAAAAUAGGCAUGUACUGUACUUUCAGCCAGGAUGCUGGUACAAAAAAAAAAAAAAGGAGUUUUGAGAAAAGUCCUUUGAACCUAUGAAAUUCUCUCUCCAUCUUGCAGGUUUAUUGAUUAGGUCCACUCCAGCUGCAGAUGAAGCCUGCAGGGGAAGAAGCAGAUCUUCAGUCUGCCUCUGCAGAUCUGCUGACAUUACUGGCUCUAGCUUGGGGAAGGAGGAUGGCUCUGGAAUGUCUGGGACAGAGGAAAGGAGAAGCCUUAUAAUCCCUAGUUCAUGAAGAGAUUGGUGCUGAGGCUGAGCGGGGAGGGAGCCAGACUGAACUGACUGGGAGUGAAGAGGAAGCUGGGCUCUGUGCACAUGCAAUGUUUCCUUAUGUUAAUCUCAAGAGAUUUCAUGUGAUACCAUCAGAUAGGAGGACAGAAUUCUCAGCUGCUGAAGUUUGUAUUGCACACUGUGAUACUUCCCUGAGGUUUUUCUGCUCAAGGUCAAGCACAGCUUCUCUGUCGGUGUCCUCCAAAUAUCUUGGAAAGUUUCCAUGUUCCUCAGCAGCUUGAGGUUCUUAUUUUGAGUUUUCUGAAAUGCAUUUUGUUAUUACCCUCCCUGUUCUGAGACAUCCAACUGAACAGAGCCACCCCCCC
Pseudopipra pipra is the source of this 673-nucleotide long non-coding RNA. RefSeq lists it as uncharacterized. The transcript has 4 exons. Lineage: Eukaryota; Metazoa; Chordata; Aves; Passeriformes; Pipridae. The record is from RefSeq and is a predicted model, not a curated record.